RNAcentral lists this ribosomal RNA (780 nucleotides) under Triticum aestivum (bread wheat). RNAcentral's name for it is "partial small subunit ribosomal RNA". Lineage: Eukaryota; Viridiplantae; Streptophyta; Magnoliopsida; Poales; Poaceae. The record is from RNAcentral.
AUGUUAGCCUCUGCUCUAUCAGUUGAGAAAAUUGUUGCAGAAAAUUUGUAUUCUUCACAGGAGUGGCAAGCUCAAUUUAUACUAGUUAGAAUUUGGAAGAAAUUGUAUAGAGAAACCCAAAGCAUUUUGUUUUAUUCAUUCAUGCGUGAAACACAGACAAUCCAAAACAUUGAGCCAUGGUCGCACAGACCACACAACAUGUUCGGUCGGUGUUCGUUCUUGUCUUCACUUCUCUGCCGUCUUUCCGAACCCGAAGUUUGGCGGCAUGAACUCCGUCACCCUCUUCGCCGCCGGCCUGACCUUGAGCUCCUCCCACCACGCCUUCACGUGCGGGCGCUCCUCCACCAGCGACGCGUACUCGGUGUCCAUGAAGUAGCGCAUGAGCGGGAAGUGGCUGAGGUCCGCGAGGCUGAGGGAGUCCCCGGCGAGGUACCUCGACGCCGACAGCCGCGCCUCGUACACCUCCAGCACCUUCCGCAGCUUGGCGACGUUCUCGUUCACCACCGCCUGGUCCGGCGCGCCGCCCAGGAGCGGCGCCACGAUGCAAUGCACGAAUAUGGCGGCGGCCGCGGGGUGGUGCUGGUGGGCCUCCACCUCCAGCCACACGUCCACCAUCGCCGCAGACUCCGGCGAGCCGGAGCCCAGCAGCUCCGGCUUGUGCUUGCGCAGCACGUGCCUCGCGAUCGCGCGCGACUCUGCGUGUGGGGAUCCAGAUUGUUAAUUCGCUCGUCCAAGUUUUCUCAUGGAAUUUCAUAUCAGAUUGCUGAUCCGCGCGUGUAA